AAGGUGGAAUUCUCAGAUUUGUUAAAGACUGACUUAUGCGAAAGCAUUUGCCAAGGAUGUUUUCAUUGAUCAAGAACGAAAGU
Molecule: ribosomal RNA, 83 nt
Filed under: uncultured eukaryote
Lineage: Eukaryota
Description: partial small subunit ribosomal RNA
Source: RNAcentral